This 301-nucleotide ribosomal RNA is filed under the name uncultured bacterium. RNAcentral's name for it is "partial 16S ribosomal RNA". It matches the Rfam family "Bacterial small subunit ribosomal RNA", at positions 509 to 809 of the family's 1533-position model. The record is from RNAcentral.
CAGUCGCCGCGGGAAUACGUAGGGUGCGAGCGUUGUCCGGAAUUACUGGGCGUAAAGAGCUCGUAGGCGGUUUGUCGCGUCGUCUGUGAAAUUCUGCAGCUUAACUGUAGGCGUGCAGGCGAUACGGGCAGACUUGAGUACUACAGGGGAGACUGGAAUUCCUGGUGUAGCGGUGAAAUGCGCAGAUAUCAGGAGGAACACCGGUGGCGAAGGCGGGUCUCUGGGUAGUAACUGACGCUGAGGAGCGAAAGCGUGGGUAGCGAACAGGAUUAGAUACCCCCGUAGUCCCUGUCUCUUAUAA